RNAcentral lists this small nucleolar RNA (74 nucleotides) under Calidris pygmaea (Spoon-billed sandpiper). RNAcentral describes it as "Small nucleolar RNA SNORD58 (ENSCPGG00000014353.1)". It matches the Rfam family "Small nucleolar RNA SNORD58". Rfam says of the family: snoRNA U58 is found in introns 1, 3 and 6 of the ribosomal protein RPL17 gene in humans. U58 is a member of the C/D class of snoRNA which contain C (UGAUGA) and D (CUGA) box motifs. Lineage: Eukaryota; Metazoa; Chordata; Aves; Charadriiformes; Scolopacidae. The record is from Rfam by way of RNAcentral.
UUGCGGUGAUGACCAUCUUAGGACACCUUUGGAACAUCCAUGAAAAAAAAAAAAACGAGUUAUUUCUGAGCAAC